CAGUCGCCGCGGUAAUACAGAGGAUGCAAGCGUUAUCCGGAAUGAUUGUGCGUAAAGCGUGCGCAGGCGGUUAUGUAAGACAGUUGUGAAAUCCCCGGGCUCAACCUGGGAACUGCAUCUGUGACUGCAUAGCUAGAGUACGGUAGAGGGGGAUGGAAUUCCGCGUGUAGCAGUGAAAUGCGUAGAUAUGCGGAGGAACACCGAUGGCGAAGGCAAUCCCCUGGACCUGUACUGACGCUCAUGCACGAAAGCGUGGGGAGCAAACAGGAUUAGAUACCCCAGUAGUCCCUGUCUCUUAUAC
This 301-nucleotide ribosomal RNA is filed under the name uncultured bacterium. RNAcentral describes it as "partial 16S ribosomal RNA". It matches the Rfam family "Bacterial small subunit ribosomal RNA", at positions 509 to 807 of the family's 1533-position model. The record is from RNAcentral.